GAUGAACGCUGGCUACAGGCUUAACACAUGCAAGUCGAGGGGAAACGGCAUUGAGUGCUUGCACUGAAUGGACGUCGACCGGCGCACGGGUGAGUAACGCGUAUCCAACCUUCCCGUUACUGCGGGAUAACCUGCCGAAAGGCAGACUAAUACCGCAUGUUCUUCGAUGACGGCAUCAGAUUCGAAGCAAAGAUCCGUCGGUAACGGAGGGGGAUGCGUCGGAUUAGCUUGUUGGCGGGGCGACGGCCCACCAAGGCGACGAUCAGUAGGGGUUCUGAGAGGAAGGUCCCCCACAUUGGAACUGAGACACGGUCCAAACUCCUACGGGAGGCAGCAGUGAGGAAUAUUGGUCAAUGGGCGGAAGCCUGAACCAGCCAAGUAGCGUGCAGGAGGACGGCCCUACGGGUUGUAAACUGCUUUUAUGCGGGGAUAAAGUGAGGGACGUGUCCCUUUUUGCAGGUAC
RNAcentral lists this ribosomal RNA (463 nucleotides) under Prevotella sp. oral taxon G70. Its description in RNAcentral is "bacterial SSU rRNA". It matches the Rfam family "Bacterial small subunit ribosomal RNA", at positions 28 to 478 of the family's 1533-position model. The record is from RNAcentral. Lineage: Bacteria; Pseudomonadati; Bacteroidota; Bacteroidia; Bacteroidales; Prevotellaceae.